GACGUAGGGCGCGAGCGUUGUCCGGAUUUAUUGGGCGUAAAGAGCUCGUAGGCGGCUUGUCGCGUCGUCCGUGAAAACCUGGGGCUCAACCCCAGGCUUGCGGUCGAUACGGGCAGGCUCGAGUUCGGUAGGGGAGACUGGAAUUCCUGGUGUAGCGGUGGAAUGCGUAGAUAUCGGGAGGAACACCAGUGGCGAAGGCGGUUACCUGGAGCUUUGCUGACGCUGAUGCGCGAAAGCGUGGGGAGCGAUCCGG
RNAcentral lists this ribosomal RNA (253 nucleotides) under uncultured bacterium. RNAcentral describes it as "partial 16S ribosomal RNA". It matches the Rfam family "Bacterial small subunit ribosomal RNA", at positions 524 to 776 of the family's 1533-position model. The record is from RNAcentral.